Long non-coding RNA from Lagenorhynchus albirostris (white-beaked dolphin), 502 nucleotides. RefSeq lists it as uncharacterized. The transcript has 4 exons. The record is from RefSeq and is a predicted model, not a curated record. Lineage: Eukaryota; Metazoa; Chordata; Mammalia; Artiodactyla; Delphinidae.
GGCCGAGGACCGGAAGUGCUUCGGCGGCCUAGAACUUGGUUGGGGGCGUUGGCAGUUCGGCUCUUGGAAGACCCGCGCAAGACGGAUAAAAAAGGUUGAAAAGUCAUUUCAUUCUGCUCCCAUAUCAAGCUUCUGCACAGAACUGAACAGUGUGAACAAGUCUGGUGAUGAAGCACAGAUUAAAUCUUUAAAGUAUCUUAAUUUCACAGCCCUUCAACACAUAUAAUUUAUAUAUGAAGCACCAAAACUGGAGCCAAGGUCUGAACAGAUUAUACAUACACUGGAAAAGAAAUAGGGAAAAAGUAAUGAAGACAGAAAAACAGAGAAUUGAACAGUCACGUGGGAUAUUAGUUCCCUGACCAGGGAUCGAACCCGUGCCCCCAGCAGUGGAAGCUCGGAGUCUUAAACACUGGCCUAUCCAGGAAGUCCUCACAGGAUCUUUUUAUAAUGUAUUUGCAUCUCAGAAAUACCUGUGUCAUAUUACCUUGAUGUCAGCAACUGG